Coturnix japonica (Japanese quail) is the source of this 2801-nucleotide non-coding RNA. The record is from RefSeq and is a predicted model, not a curated record. NCBI's taxonomy places the organism in Eukaryota, Metazoa, Chordata, Aves, Galliformes, Phasianidae.
CAAUGACAAGUCGGCAUCAGCCAAUCGUAGCCACAACCCGCCUUUGUCCAUCCCAAGCCUCGAGGAAUGAGGAGGGAUGAUUUUAUGAUUGACAAGCAUCCUGACCAAUAAGCGUGGCCGGGCCUAGAGGCGCGGCCGCCCCCGAGGCCGGCUGAGGUGAGGCGCUGCCCGCGGGGAGGGGCCGCGCCGCCGCCCUUAUCCGCCCGCGCAGCGCCGCCUGGGGCCCGCGAUAGGCCCGGCCGCCCCCGGCUCCCCGCCCUGCCCCGGCGGCUGGGCCUCGGUCUGAAUGUGAAAAUGCCUCCCUGAGCUCAGCGAUAAAGAGGCAGAAAGAAUUCGUCUCUUAAACCAGCUCCCGUUUAUGAAGAUCAAACGUGAUGUCCUUCCUGAGUGCACAAAUGAAGCCUCGUUAUAACCCUGACAUCUCACAGCUUCCAGCAGUCCCUGCAAGUUCCUGGCCACAUCAGCCUUCCCUGGUCCUGCAGCAGCGUGCAGAGGCGAGUGCUUCAGCUGAGAACCCCAGUGUGCUGAUAUCAGAUCCGAGCAGGUGGACGCUCCAUCCGGGCCUCCAUUCCCUCCUGCGAACACCAGCAGGGAUCUGAGCCGUGAGCAGUUUGGUUCGUGUGAUGAGGAGCCAGAAAUUGCUGCUGCAAAAUGCUCUCCCACAACGCAGUCCUCAGCGCCGCAGCUCCUCGAGGAGGGUGAGGGCAGGAGAUGCAGCUCCUGUGUUGCACCAAAGGACUUUUCCUGCUGUAAAAUCUUCUCCUGACUUCAGCCUAAACCACAGCUCUCUACAGUCGGGGUUAUUUCUUUUUCAGUAUUGCCUUAGAGAAGCAGCACUUUCCUGGCUGACUUUUAAAGCCACUUAUUGCAGUUGCCACGGGCGUGUAUCGGGUAAGCAACAGCCUCAGAUUGGGUGGCAGAGUGAAAACAAAAGAGUCUGUAUCAUCUCAUUGAGACUGUGGGAAACGUGAAAGCACGUAAGUGCUGACUUGCACAGCUACAGCCAUUCCUCACACCUCACAGGAGCUGAGCUUCAGGUGGAUGGCGGGCAGGGGAUGCUCCAUCCCAACCACCAGCAUAGUGAGCAGCAGCAGCUUCCAUCCGCACAGACCCUCCCUGUGUCUGGUAUAUCCCUGAAGCUCUCAGACCUCACAGUUUUCUUGCAAGCCCAAUAAUACACUCCUUACAGCAAUACUGAGGGCACGUUUUCCCUACUGGAGAUAUAAAAAGGCCUAAAGAACAUGCAGCUUCUGCAGAAAUAACUGCCUGAAAACAGGAUCUGAAUUGCUCCUGCACGUCCAGUAGGAUGAGCAUAAAACCCAAUUGAGGGGGAUGGGAAUGUGCCCCUUUUAUGUCAUUCAGUGGUUAAAACCAAAGGGUUUGAAUUGCAAAACGUGUCUGUGUUUGCUGUUGCUGGGCAGAGGGAAGGGUUUUCUAAAGGAGGACCAUUAAAGGGUUCAGUCUUCCUCAAGGGGUCCAACACUCUCUCCACAUAGACCUACCAAAGGAACUCAGCUAACAGCUUCCUUUCCCCUUUUUCAACUGGAAGAUAAAUAGAGCUAUCAGGAGAGGAGGAAAAAAAAACCAACCUACCUUUAUUUGACCCUUGGAACCCUGCAGCAGCCUGGAAUUGCUUCAUGGCAUUGACAACUUCUGCACUGUUUCCUAUAGAAGGAAUUUGGGCCGUGCUUAUCCUGCUUAGGAUGGCUGCAGAGGCACGGGGAGACCAAAGAGCUCAAAAAAGGGAGAUAAAACAGGGAGGCUAACACAGAAAUACUUUUUGGCUAAGCGCAACCCUCUUGCUUCUGUGGGGAAUUGGCUUUAACCACCGAGCUGAGCUGAAUCCUCACUGCAAUCGUUGGUAGAAAUGGUUAAGGCACAAACACUGCCUUGCCUUGGUGAGGCUGCAGGAUGCUAAAUGCUGGGCCAAAAUGAGAAGGGAUUUCCUCCUCGGGUACAAAUCACUACAAAACAGCAGAGAUGGACAGAGCUGCAGUUGUGCUUCUGCAUCACCAGCAGUGCAGGGACACAGAAGGGAGACCCUUCAUGGGGACAGAGCGGUGCCACUGACUGUCAACAGCCCCAGACUGUGGGAUCUGCAACUCUGCUCACCCCAAAGGAUCUGACGACCCACAUCCCACCGCCCUCAGCACUGCAAGGUGACUCACACACACAAGGAGAACAUCACCUCAGAAGCUAAAUGUUGAACUUUAGGGCACCCUACAACCAGUCAGGAUUGAAUCCCGUUGUUCCCAAGAGUGGAAGGGCACAGAAGACGUUCAAACUGGCAUGCAUUGUAACUCAGGGAAUACAACUGGUAUGUAUUCCAAACUGUGCAAGUCCUCUCAACUCUGUGACACAUUUAAAGACAAGUCUAUCAAGCUUAAGGAACAACGAGCGUCCUUUGGACUAAACCUUACUUCUCAGUAAGAGGAAAACAGAUUAAAACCAGAGACUGGCCAGGCUGGUGGUGGGUCCGUUCUGUGCCUGGAACUGUACGGGAGGUGGUCCAUCUGUCCACUGCAAGAUAACAAACAGCAUGAAAAUCCUCCAGCCAUGACCUGGGAAGGGGAGGAAGAGCAGCAAGGCCAGAGGAAGGAGCUGCCCACACACACACACAGAUGAUGAGUGAUUUCAUGACAAGCUGAGCAUCAGGUUUGACUCUGCAUCACACACAUGGAACAGGGGAAGCUGUGAGUUGCAUUAACGACAGGCCUCCAUUUAGAUGCUGCUGUUUGAGCCCAUUCUACACUGCAGCUGUAGUGUUUGCAGAGCGAAUAAAGCCUCUGCUUCUCACCCAU